Molecule: ribosomal RNA, 254 nt
Filed under: uncultured bacterium
Lineage: Bacteria
Description: partial 16S ribosomal RNA
Rfam family: Bacterial small subunit ribosomal RNA
Source: RNAcentral
UACGUAGGGUGCGAGCGUUGUCCGGAAUUAUUGGGCGUAAAGAGCUUGUAGGCGGUUUGUCGCGUCUGCUGUGAAAAUCCGGGGCUCAACCCCGGACUUGCAGUGGGUACGGGCAGACUAGAGUGUGGUAGGGGAGACUGGAAUUCCUGGUGUAGCGGUGAAAUGCGCAGAUAUCGAGGAGGAACACCGGUGGCGAAGGCGGGUCUCUGGGCCGAUACUGACGCUGAGGAGCGAAAGCGUGGGGAGCGAACAGG